UGCUGAAAGCACCGGUUCUCGUCCGAUCGGGGAAGUAAAGCAUCAUCGGGCGCGGUCCAUACUUGGGAGGGUGCCACCAGGGAACACCGCGUGC
This 94-nucleotide ribosomal RNA is filed under the name Nephila pilipes (giant wood spider). Lineage: Eukaryota; Metazoa; Arthropoda; Arachnida; Araneae; Nephilidae. The record is from RNAcentral.